ACAGCAGCCGCCGCGGUAAAACGUAGGGUGCGAGCGUUAAUCGGAAUUACUGGGCGUAAAGCGUGCGCAGGCGGUUGUGUAAGACAGGUGUGAAAUCCCCGGGCUUAACCUGGGAACUGCGCUUGUGACUGCACAGCUAGAGUAUGGCAGAGGGGGGUGGAAUUCCACGCGUAGCAGUGAAAUGCGUAGAGAUGUGGAGGAACAUCAGUGGCGAAGGCGGCCAUCUGGAUCAACACUGACGCUGAAGCACGAAAGCGUGGGGAGCAAACAGGAUUAGAUACCCCCGUAGUACCUGUCUCUUAUAC
This 305-nucleotide ribosomal RNA is filed under the name uncultured bacterium. RNAcentral describes it as "partial 16S ribosomal RNA". It matches the Rfam family "Bacterial small subunit ribosomal RNA", at positions 508 to 807 of the family's 1533-position model. The record is from RNAcentral.